Molecule: ribosomal RNA, 144 nt
Filed under: Alternaria alternata
Lineage: Eukaryota; Fungi; Ascomycota; Dothideomycetes; Pleosporales; Pleosporaceae
Description: partial 18S ribosomal RNA
Source: RNAcentral
UUGGUGGGCGAACCCACCAGGAAACAAGAAGUACGCUAAAGACACGCGUGAAUAUUUCAGCAAGGCCGUAACCCCAAAGGAUUCCCAGCCCCGCUCCCAUGGGUAUACAAUUUCCGUAGGAUUGUCCUUGCGGAGGGAUCAUUA